AAACUUGUCCUUUUCAGUCAUGAAAGAGAAUAGCAUGUCCAACAGCAUAAUGCUAAGAAAUCCCAAAGAUGGCACCGUCUCCAAUAUACCAUUGCUGAGAAAGGGCAUCUGUGGUGACUGGAAGAAUCUCUUCACUGUGGCUCAAAGUGAAGCCUUUGACAGAGUCUAUCAGGAGAAGAUGUCGAAGCUGGAUCCUGGUCUCUUCCCCUGGUCAGCACGAUGUUGAUCAAUGCCCCCAUCCACCUACCCCCUCACCACUCUGCACACCCUCAUCCAGGAUAGGGUUUCUUAGUGUAGUCCUGGCUGUGCUGGACCUAGCUCUGUAAAUAGGCUGGCCUCAAACUCAGAGAUCUUCCUGCCUCUGCCUCCUGAGUGCUGGGAUUAAAGGUGUGCACCACCAAUGUCUGGCUGUCUGGUUGAAAGACUCUAACCAUUUUAAGGACUCUGGGUGUUACCUACUAAACUUAAAAAAAAAUCUAUCUGUGCCUUUUUUUUUUUUUUUUUUUUUUUUUUUUUUUUUUUUUUUUUUUUUUGUCAUCUGGAUGCAAGUUAGUCAUCUGGGACCAGGAAAUCUCAUGGAGAAAAUGCCUCCAUCAGAUUGGUCUGUAUGAGAGCCCGGCCCACUCAAGGUGGUGCCAUCCUUGUGGAAGUGGCUCUGGGUUGUAUGGAAAAAAAAAAUCUGAGCAAGUCACAGGGAACAAGCCAAUAAACAUCAUUCCCCCACCGUCUCUACUUAGUUCCUGCCUCAGUUUCCCAUGAUAAUGUACCUGUAAGCCAAAUAAACCCUUCCCUCCCCAUGUUGCUUUUGGUCAGUGCUUUAUCACAGGAAUGGAAUGAAGAUUGGAAUACUAUCCUUUUGAGUUGCCAGGUGGUUCAUAUCACAAAACUCAGAGCAAAAUAAUUUUUAAAAAACUUGAGUCUAGAGCAGACAUAUCUGCACCUGGUUUCCAAAACUGAAUUGCAAGUAAGGUAUUCAUAAUAAAAUGUUAAUUUAUUGUCGCUUUCAAA
Non-coding RNA from Peromyscus maniculatus bairdii (prairie deer mouse), 1008 nucleotides. The record is from RefSeq and is a predicted model, not a curated record. NCBI's taxonomy places the organism in Eukaryota, Metazoa, Chordata, Mammalia, Rodentia, Cricetidae.